This is a long non-coding RNA of Alnus glutinosa, 566 nucleotides long. RefSeq lists it as uncharacterized. The transcript has 3 exons. The record is from RefSeq and is a predicted model, not a curated record. Lineage: Eukaryota; Viridiplantae; Streptophyta; Magnoliopsida; Fagales; Betulaceae.
CCUGUGGUACUGUACAUAUUCCAAGAAUGUAAUGCUAAUGUUGUGGCAUCUGGAAGGGUUGCUGGAGUUGAUCUUGUAGAACAGAUAACCCAAUGAGGCAUUUGUAUUGUCAGAACUCCAGAGGUUGACUUUGAAGAAAGAGUACUAAUAGUGAAGCAAGAGUUAUGUCUACUGGCCGGUGAUGAAACUGAAUCGAUAUGGACAAAACAAAAAGCUUGGUUUUAAUAAAUUAAACGAAGAUGAGAAUGAAUAGGGUCCCUUGCAAUUCAUCUCUCUGAGCUAGACAUCAUGCUCUUCAAAAGACUUUUGAACCAUUAGCAGCAGCAGAAGAACCAGGCUUAACAAAACAUACUCAUCAUUCCAGACAAAUUUGCUUUUGAUCUCUUGGAAUGAAUGAUCAAGUAUAAUUUAUGUAUGUCUGAGAAACAAUUUGGAUGUUUUGGAACUCGGGUUAUGUAUCUGUUGGAACUUGGGUUUUAUACUUGUCAUCACUACUGUAUACAUAUAUGUUAGUCUACCUCUGGUGUAAUUUUAUGUUGUGAAUUUAGUUUCAAUUGUUGUUUUUA